RNAcentral lists this microRNA precursor (60 nucleotides) under Otolemur garnettii (small-eared galago). Its description in RNAcentral is "microRNA oga-mir-31 precursor". Its record names the gene oga-mir-31. It matches the Rfam family "mir-31 microRNA precursor family", at positions 12 to 71 of the family's 83-position model. Lineage: Eukaryota; Metazoa; Chordata; Mammalia; Primates; Galagidae. The record is from miRBase by way of RNAcentral.
AGGCAAGAUGCUGGCAUAGCUGUUGAACUGAAAACCUGCUAUGCCAACAUAUUGCCAUCU